RNAcentral lists this unclassified non-coding RNA (1268 nucleotides) under Penaeus monodon (black tiger shrimp). RNAcentral describes it as "3'(2'),5'-bisphosphate nucleotidase 1-like, transcript variant X5". Lineage: Eukaryota; Metazoa; Arthropoda; Malacostraca; Decapoda; Penaeidae. The record is from RNAcentral.
CUGCUCUUCACUAGUCUCAGGGAUCUAGCGCAUUCCGGUUUGGCAACACCGGAACGUCAACAUUGGACACCGAAAGCUCAAGGAACUCGCUCGUUGUGGCUUUUAUUAAGGUUUUUGGUUGUUAUUUACGGCUGACAGGAGGUCAAUCAUGUCGCUGGCACAAGGAGCUCCCCUUUUAUCAAGGCUGGUGUCAUCAUCAGUGGCCAUUGCAGGCCAGGCAGGGCAUCUUAUAAGAGAAAUCAUGAAGAAGGGAGACCUUGGCAUUGUGGAGAAAGAGAGUGUACGAGACCUUCAGACAGAAGCUGAUCGUGCUGCCCAGCGAUGCAUUAUUAGUUCUCUUAAUAAAUGCUUCCCUAAAAUAACAAUAAUCGGUGAGGAAGGAGAGGAGGAGACGAAGGUAGCUAGUGGAAGUAUCUUUGAUCCGUCGACUACAUCGUUGGUUGACGUCACCUGCCCGGCUCACCUGUCGUCAAUGGCAGAAGAGGAGGUUGUAGUUUGGGUAGAUCCUUUAGAUGGCACUGCAGAAUACACGCAAGCUUUCGAAUGCAGUAAGAAUGGCCAUCAGGGGGUUUGUAAAGCACUGGGAGUGGUGUGCUCAAGCUUGCUAGACCAUGUUACAGUCUUGAUUGGCAUAGCCUCAGGUGGGAAGGCCAUUGGGGGCGUCAUUCAUCAGCCCUAUUAUAACUACCAGAAUCCUGGGAGUGAGCUGGGACGUACAAUAUGGGGUAUAGUAGGAGGAGAAGUUGGAGGCAUGAAGAUCCUACCUCCACCAGAGGGCAAGUUGAUUGUGACCACCACAAGGUCCCAUUCAUCAUCGACUGUUAAUGAUGCGAUUUCUGCGGUCUCCCCCGAUGAAGUGCUGAGAGUAGGCGGUGCUGGCCAUAAGGUGAUGCUUCUUCUGGAAGGCAAGGCUCAUCUGUAUGUGUUUGCAAGCCCAGGAUGCAAGAAGUGGGACACCUGUGCCCCACAAGCAAUUCUAGAAGCAGCUGGUGGGAUAUUGACUGAUAUUCAAGGCAAUGCAAUUCCAUAUGAUGCUUCUGCGCCUCACAGGAACUCGACUGGUGUCUUGGCCUCUGCAGCUGGGCAGAAACAUGGAGUAUAUCUUGAGCAGAUUCCUCAGCAUGUCAAGGAUAAUCUGAAAGCAUAGUUAUUCAUAGCUGUCAAUUAGAGAAGGCAUUUUCCUAAACCAUGUUUUAUUUUUUUCAUUCCAGUUUUUGAAAAUUGUCUUUUUAUUGAUUGGACCACCAUUUAUAUAUACAUACAUAUAU